GGUCUCGUGGCGCAAUGGUAGCGCGCUAGCUUCCGGUGCUAGCGGUUGUGCGUUCGAGUCGCACCGGGAUCG
RNAcentral lists this transfer RNA (72 nucleotides) under Aspergillus melleus. RNAcentral's name for it is "tRNA-Arg". It matches the Rfam family "tRNA". From Rfam's summary of the family: Transfer RNA (tRNA) molecules are approximately 80 nucleotides in length. Their secondary structure includes four short double-helical elements and three loops (D, anti-codon, and T loops). Lineage: Eukaryota; Fungi; Ascomycota; Eurotiomycetes; Eurotiales; Aspergillaceae. The record is from RNAcentral. RNAcentral also lists the same sequence under 1 other name.